AUGUCUCCGUACGCCGUCCUCGUCGCGGUGCUCUUGACCUUCUGCUACGUCGUUUGGAAGGCUCGAGGCAGCAGAAGUGGCAAGCUCCCGCCCUCGCCGCCGUCGCGUCCGCUGCUCGGCCACCUCCACCUCCUUGGCCGCCACCCGCACCGCUCCUUGCGCGAGCUGCACGCUCGGUACGGCACCGAUGGCGGCCUCCUGCUGUUGCAGCUCGGGCGCAGGCGGACGCUGGUGGUUUCCACGGCGGCCGCGGCGGCGGGCCUGUACAAGAACCACGACCUCGCCUUCGCCUCCCGCGUGCCCAGCGCGCCGGCCGACAAGCUGACGUACGGCUCCACCAACGUCUCCUUCGCACCCUACGGCGACGCCUGGCGCCGCAGCAAGAAGAUGGCCGUCGUCCACCUCCUCUCCCCGCGCCGUGCCGACUCGUUCGCCCCCGUGCGGGCCGCCGAGGCGGCCGCCCUCGUCGCCGGGGUGCGCCGCGCCGCGGAGGCGGGUGAGAUUGUGGAGCUGAGGGAGCUCCUGUCCGCCUACAGCAACGCGGUGGUCACCCGCGCGACCACCGGCGCCGCAGGUGCCACGGCCGAGAAGCUAAAAAAGCUUUUGGGUAACUCCGCAGCGAUCAUGUCGGGGCUCCAGGCGGAUGACGUGCUCCCCGACGCGGCGGCGAAGGUGGUUAGGUGGGCGACGGGUCUCGAGAAGAGGCUCGACGCCGAGCUCGAACAGUGGGACAAGUUCCUAUCAGAGAUAAUCGCAGAGCACCUUGAGAAGAAGCCAGACAACGGCGCAGGGGAGGAGAGCUUCCUCGACGUCCUGCUGCGGCUUAGGGAAGAAGGCGCCGCCGGACUCGAGCUCACCAACGAUCGCAUCAAAAGCCUCAUCAAGGACAUGAUAGCCGGCGGGACAGACACAGCAUCGGUCACGUUGGAAUGGGCCAUGGCGGAGCUCGUCGGGAACCCGCGGGCAAUAGCCAAGCUGCAGGACGAGAUAGAUCGAGUCACCGAAGGCAAACCGACCAUCGAGGAAGACGACCUGAGCAGGAUGGAGUACCUCAGGGCGGUGCUGAAGGAGGUGCUCCGGCUCCACCCGGCGGCACCGCUCCUCAUCCCGCACCAGUCGACGACCGCGGCGGUCGUGCAGGGCUACGAGAUCCCAGCUGAGACUGCGCUCUUCGUCAACGCGUGGGCGAUCGGGAGGGACCCGGCGGCGUGGGGAGCAACGGCGGAGGAGUUCUGGCCGGAGCGAUUCCUGGGCGGCGGCAGCGCGCAGGGCGUGGACCUGCGGGGGAACGACUACCAGCUCCUCCCGUUCGGCGCCGGCCGGCGGCUCUGCCCCGGCAUCAGCUUCGCGAUGCCGGUGCUGGAGAUCGCGCUCUGCAGCCUUGUGCGCCACUUCGACUGGGAAAUCCCCGCCGAGGCACGUCUAGACAUGAACGAGGCGCCGGGACUGAUCACGCCGCCGCUGGCUCCGCUGCGCCUUGUCCCCAAGUGCAGGAGGCAGCAGUAG
This 1506-nucleotide ribosomal RNA is filed under the name Triticum aestivum (bread wheat). RNAcentral describes it as "partial small subunit ribosomal RNA". The record is from RNAcentral. Lineage: Eukaryota; Viridiplantae; Streptophyta; Magnoliopsida; Poales; Poaceae.